This 406-nucleotide ribosomal RNA is filed under the name uncultured bacterium. RNAcentral describes it as "partial 16S ribosomal RNA". It matches the Rfam family "Bacterial small subunit ribosomal RNA", at positions 29 to 526 of the family's 1533-position model. The record is from RNAcentral.
AUUGAACGCUGGCGGCAGGCCUAACACAUGCAAGUCGAACGAGUGGCGGACGGGUGAGUAAUGUCUGGGAAACUGCCUGAUGGCGGGGGAUAACUACUGGAAACGGUGGCUAAUACCGCAUACCAUACGAUGUGCCCAGAUGGGAUUGGCUAGUUGGUGGGGUAACGGCUCACAAGGGCGACGAGCCCUAGCUGGUCUGAGAGGAUGACCAGCCACACUGGAACUGAGACACGGCCCAGACGCCGACGGGAGGCAGCAGUGGGGAAUAUUGCACAAUGGGCGCAAGCCUGAUGCAGCCAUGCCGCGUGUAUGAAGAAGGCCUUCGGGUUGUAAAGUACUUUCAGCGGGGAGGCGUUACCCGCAGAAGAAGCACCGGCUAACUCCGUGCCAGCAGCCGCGGUAAUUC